Molecule: non-coding RNA, 3231 nt
Organism: Lolium perenne
Lineage: Eukaryota; Viridiplantae; Streptophyta; Magnoliopsida; Poales; Poaceae
Source: RefSeq, a predicted model, not a curated record
UCUAGAGAACUCCAAUUUCCUCCCGUCUCCUCUCUCACAUCCCAUCCCGUCUCUCGCAGUGGCCGAUGGACUCCAAUGGGCGGCGGCCCUUGAGAAGCUUUUCCUUCCUCAGGCCGGCGUCCUCCUACCUCUUCCUAGCGGUGGAGGGGCCAAACGAGGCAUCCAUUACCACUGCACACCCUCCUCUCCUUCACGCCGCGGCUGGUGACGUGGAGGAGCUCCGUGCCCCCUCUCCCUGUCGUGGUGGUUGGCGAUGCGGCGGUGGAUCUCCACAUCCUCCUUUCCCUCCCGGGAGACAUGGCUACGGGAGGAUUUGACGUGCUUCCUCCUAGAUGUACUUACCCUAAUCCUAAUGCAUCACAAGUCGGUCGUGUGCUUCACCAUCCAGCACUGUCACGAUCUCCUCCUGGCUGGUUGCAGUGGCGUGGCUUUGCCUGCAGCAUCCCCUCAGCUAGACAACAACAAUCGACUUUGCCGCCUGGUCCAGUUUGUGGUGGUUCGCCUUCAAUCUCGCCAGAUGGGCGGUCAUGCGGUCGCUAGAUGGCAAGCAGCGCUGCCGCAUGUUCCUGACCUGAUCUGGAUCAUGGCCUCACUUGGAAGCCACUCUGCCGUCAGUAUCGUGGAACGUGGGGCGCGGUGCUCCAUCAACGGAUGUUCCCAUGUGAGGACUGGAGCUGGUAAUAGAGAGAAGUGGUUGCCCUCUACUUCAUCGCUGAUGCCUGGCGACGAAAACAUCGAUUGGCUUCAUUGCCUCGGGUUUGCUUCAAGUUACUCCACCUUCCAUGUGCAGUUUUCCAGUCUCUUCAAUUAAUUGGUUGGUCGUUUGUCUUGCAAGAUUAUGUGGCUGACCGCUCUUGGAGGAAGCUGUCGCUGCUCAAAAUCCUGGAAGCCACUAACAAUAGCAAUUCAUAUCAAUCUAUCAUUACUAACAAUGUCCAGCAAAUGGGUCUAGCUCGAACUGAACAUUGUUCAGACGCAUGGCCUCUAUAUGUGUUGCAGAGAGAAAGAGGUUUGUGGAUGCACAAACCUGAUUAAAUCGAGGUGAAUCAAUCCACUUCUAAGUUAUUCUCUAUUUCCCUAUUCCACUUGCAAUUUGUGUAAAAUUUUCUGUGCAUAUAGUCUGUGUUCUUUUUUUCUUCCAUCACUUGCUCACAUAUCAUUUCAUUCAAAGAAUAAAUCUGCAAGAAGUGUCAUCCCUCACAGUUUCAGUAUUCAUCCUCGGGUGUAGAAGUUAUCCUUCAUCGAGCCAAGACAACAUCAUUAUAUAUUGUCUUUGAUUUCGGGCUUACAGGUUCUGUCUUAUCCCAAAAUAUCAUGGAUAUUGCCGUUUAAAAGUCUUUUGGCUUAGAUGUAGUCUGGCCCCAAACAUUAGUGUCCUUUUAAAUUCUUUUUUGAGCUUUAAUGUUCGUUCAAAUAGUCAGUAUGUCCAUGUAGGAAUGCACAUUAUUCCAUUAUUUGUAGCUUGAUAUAGGAACUCUGUACAUUCCAAGGCUUAUAAAAGAUUUCUUCACCUUAAGUCAAUCUAGGCACAAUCAAUUUAUAAGGAGAUUCACUAGCUCUAUAAGCUAAUUGUCUGAGCUAGGGUUCUCUCGGCUUGACAAAAGAAUUGAAUGCAUGAACGGAUGGCAUAAUGGUUUUUCCCUUCCCAAUUACUGUCUACCUAUUGAUUUAUAAGAAUUACAUACAAUCGAACAAAAUAAUUCAGUACUAUCGGUGAGUUUUCUAGCAUUGGCGUCUUGCUGUUAAACAGAGCAGAAGCAAAAUUUGUAUUGAUAAGGAAUAGUAUGAUUGGUAUUAAAGGUGAACCUUAUCUUCAUCUCAUCCUGCAAAUUUGAGGUGAAUUUCCCUGCUUCCUGUUUUGUCAACAUUUGUAGGAUAUUAUAUGUUUGUUUGGGCUAACUACGAUAUCAACACACUGUUUAUUUAUUGCUUUUCAUCUUCGCAUAUUCAGCACUAGUAGUAUGCGGUUCGAACCAUCGUCUCUGAAACUGUUAGCCCCUGGUAGUGUUUCAAAGGUAUACUUUGCAUGAAUUGGAAGGGUUUCCUACUUCCAGUAGGUUUAAGGAAAUUCUCAUCGUAACAAUGUCAGCUUUGCAUGAGGUAGCUAUUUAUUUCGGAAAGAGUAUGUGCCUUUCUGUUUGAAUUAGAUCGAUUCUUACUUAUCCGCCUUUAAAAAGAGUUCUGCGUUGUUUGCUUUUCUAGGCAAUAUCCAAAUGCACCCGGAUUGUUCUUCGUUCGCCUCUGAUCCUUUUGUUAGUUCUUCGGAUAGUUUGAGGAAGGACUAUAUUGUUCUUCGUUUGCUUUUUUUAUAGACAGGCCACUUGACGUUGCUCGGUGAGAGUGGUGAGGCUCUCAUAGGCAGAGAGGCAGACCUUCUUGCUCCACUUACUAAAGGCCGUCAUAAUUAUGUCCGUGCUGCCAUUACUGCUAUGGUUGGCAAGCAAUGCACCGUGAUCACCAAGGUAGACCAGGAGACCUACGAUGCUGAUCGUGGGAUAGUGUUUCUUACUGUCUCGAAGGCCCAGCUAAUCACUGAUUCAGUGACAGCACUAGGCUCUUCUACCCACACUAGCCUUGCAAUAGCCGAUAAGGCAAUUGUGCCACCCGAUUACCCUAAAAGCACACAGAGCCACCUCCCAGAAGGCUGCGGCUCACAGACAACACCUCCAAAGGAUAUAAUUGAACCAACUGAUGCUGACGAGGAAGAGGACAUGGGAAAGGCAACCAAAGACAAGAAAAGGAAGAACACCAACGAAAAAGGACCUACAAGGCAUUAUUCAAAUGGAAGCAGUAACAUUAGCGUUCUCAGAAUGCCAUCAAAGGACGAGGCUAGGACAAGUGCAUUGUCAAGGAAAUCAAGCAAGUAAACCACCUUGCUGCAUAUGAAGCUUCUCAUCAAUCUACGAGCUUACGCUAUUAGUUUUACGCUAUUAGUUGUACUAAUCUUAUCUAAUACCAUCCUAGGUGAAUAUCUCCAGUUUUCCUAAGAUUGCAUAUGUAAACCUCAAUGUGUCAGUGUUUGCUGUUAAGAGCACCAGUAUGAUUAUCUAUGUAUAAUUAUCCAGUGUGUAAACCUUUAUCCACUACUAUGUACCUUAAGACUUGAUGAAACACCAGCUUUCUAGCUAUACUGCCGCUUUACCCUUUAGUAUUGUACUUCCUUCCGCUGGCUUACGUGUACUGCAGCAACUCCAUCAGUUCUUACUAAGGCUGCUAACUGCUGCAUUAUUA